RNA transcript from Homo sapiens (human), 372 nucleotides. It is a transcript of the gene named metallothionein 1I, pseudogene, with no coding region annotated. The transcript has 3 exons. The record is from RefSeq and is marked validated. NCBI's taxonomy places the organism in Eukaryota, Metazoa, Chordata, Mammalia, Primates, Hominidae.
UCCACCACGCCUCCCACCUGCCCCACUGCUUCUUCUCCUCUCCCUUAGGAACUCUAGCUUCACCUCGCUUCGUAAUGGACCCCAAUUGCUCCUGCUCCACUACUCCUGCAAAUGCAGAGAGUGCAAAUGCACCUCCUGCAAGACGAGCUGCUGCUCCUGCUGCCCCGUGGGCUGUGCCAAGUGUGCCCAGGGAUGUGUUUGCAAAGGGACACUGACAAGUGCAGCUGCUGCUCCUGAUGUAGGGAAAGCUGUGUUCCCAGAAGUAGAAAGUGUACAAACCUGGAAUUGUUUUCCAUACAACCCUGACCCAUUAGUACAUUUGGGUUUCUAAAAAUAAAAUAUGUUAAUGAUAAUAAAAGUUGACUUUAUUCU